CGAGCGGANCGAGUUAUCUGAACCUUCGGGGAACGAUAACGGCGNCNANNNNCGGACGGGUGAGUAAUGCCUAGGAAAUUGCCUUGAUGUGGGGGAUAACCAUUGGAAACGAUGGCUAAUACCGCAUAAUGCCUACGGGCCAAAGAGGGGGACCUUCGGGCCUCUCGCGUCAAGAUAUGCCUAGGUGGGAUUAGCUAGUUGGUGAGGUAAUGGCUCACCAAGGCGACGAUCCCUAGCUGGUCUGAGAGGAUGAUCAGCCACACUGGAACUGAGACACGGUCCAGACUCCUACGGGAGGCAGCAGUGGGGAAUAUUGCACAAUGGGCGCAAGCCUGAUGCAGCCAUGCCGCGUGUAUGAAGAAGGCCUUCGGNUUGUA
RNAcentral lists this ribosomal RNA (377 nucleotides) under Vibrio sp. KR09-91. Its description in RNAcentral is "partial 16S ribosomal RNA". It matches the Rfam family "Bacterial small subunit ribosomal RNA", at positions 58 to 427 of the family's 1533-position model. Lineage: Bacteria; Pseudomonadati; Pseudomonadota; Gammaproteobacteria; Vibrionales; Vibrionaceae. The record is from RNAcentral.